GCGCCUGUAGCUCAAUUGGAUAGAGUGAUGGACUUCGAAUCCAGGGGUUGGGCGUUCGAAUCGCCCCAGGCGCA
This 74-nucleotide transfer RNA is filed under the name Planctomycetota bacterium. Its description in RNAcentral is "Planctomycetes bacterium (groundwater metagenome) tRNA-Arg". It matches the Rfam family "tRNA". Rfam says of the family: Transfer RNA (tRNA) molecules are approximately 80 nucleotides in length. The record is from RNAcentral. Lineage: Bacteria; Pseudomonadati; Planctomycetota.